This 254-nucleotide ribosomal RNA is filed under the name uncultured bacterium. RNAcentral describes it as "partial 16S ribosomal RNA". It matches the Rfam family "Bacterial small subunit ribosomal RNA", at positions 524 to 776 of the family's 1533-position model. The record is from RNAcentral.
CACGUAGGGGGCGAGCGUUGUCCGGAUUUAUUGGGCGUAAAGAGCUCGUAGGCGGCUUUGUCAGUCGGGUGUGAAACCUCCAGGCUCAACCUGGAGCCGCCACCCGAUACUGCAAUAGCUAGAGUCCGGUAGGGGAGCAUGGAACUCCUGGUGUAGCGGUGAAAUGCGUAGAUAUCAGGAGGAACACCUGCGGUGUAGACGGCUUACUGGACGGUAACUGACGCUGAGGCACGAAAGCGUGGGUAGCAAACAGG